UGCCCCAAACUGGAGUCGAACCACCGACCUUCUCAUUACGAGUGAGACGCUCUACCACUGAGCUAUUGGGGC
This 72-nucleotide transfer RNA is filed under the name Elsinoe australis. RNAcentral's name for it is "tRNA-Thr". Lineage: Eukaryota; Fungi; Ascomycota; Dothideomycetes; Myriangiales; Elsinoaceae. The record is from RNAcentral.